ACCACACGAAGCUGGAAUCGCUAGUAAUCGCGAAUCAGCAUGUCGCGGUGAAUACGUUCCCGGGUCUUGUACACACCGCCCGUCACACCAUGGGAGUCAGCAACGCCCGAAGUCAGUGACCUAACCGAGAGGAAGGAGCUGCCGAAGGCGGGGCAGGUAAUUGGGGUGAAGUCGUAACAAGGUAUC
This 186-nucleotide ribosomal RNA is filed under the name uncultured bacterium. RNAcentral describes it as "partial 16S ribosomal RNA". It matches the Rfam family "Bacterial small subunit ribosomal RNA", at positions 1315 to 1500 of the family's 1533-position model. The record is from RNAcentral.